GUUGUUGUUACCUUGACGACUCUUCUCCUCCUGAACCUGGCGGGCUUGUGUCAGUUAUCAAUCAAACAAGAGGCCGUUGGUCAUUUUCAGCUGAAACCCAAAACAUGGAGCGGCUUGUUUCAACUGUGAAGUGUCUUACUGAACACCUGCUGCAGAAACAUCUGACAGAUUAUGAAGAGGUGAUACAGAAACUUUUCUCUGAAGUCUCUGGUCUGGAAGAAUUCCCCAAAAUAUCAGAUCCACAGCUUGAGGAGUGUGCCAUCCAGCUGUGGAACUGGGCAGUCACUAAGAAUGUGGGCACAAUUAUAAGUAAACACCAGAAAGCCAAAGUGCGUCACGUUGCAUGCAGUCUGCUGUACUGCAGUGAGCCUGAGCAGCCGACAGAGGGCGUCCUCCGCAAGCAAAUCCUGAUGGCCAGCAAAACAGGGAGAACCUGGUUGGACUGCAAAAAUCCCCAGAUGGCAGAUUACUUCUUAAGACUUGCUGUCAAGAGUCUGGAAACACUCUAUAGCCAACUAACGUCCAGAGGUGACGGCGCAGCUGACAUCACUUCAUCCAAGGGCGAUGUAGAGAAGGAUCUGCUUCGAAUUCUCUCGUGUCAGGCGGAAUCGGCCAUAAGUCAAGGCAACAACCAUGAGGCUGUGGCCCAUGUGCAGCGCUGUAGAGACAUGCUGCUUCGCCUACCAAAAGACACUGCAUAUCUUUCCCUAAUGUGCUACAACUUUGGAGUAGACACUUACAAUGUGAAGAAGUUUGAGGACAGCGCAUUUUGGCUCAGCCAAAGUUAUGACAUUGGGAAAAUGAAUGAGAGAUACGCUCCUGGAUCUGAAGUCCAGGCCAAGGUUUUGAGGCUCCUUGCCACUGUUUAUUUAGAAUGGGACUGUGAGAGGUUUCAGGAGAAGGCUCUCAACGCUGUCAGCUUAGCUAACAAGGAAUAUGUGAGUGCAUCUGGGCUGUACUUAAAGAUCAGAAUACUCCUGAGAUGUCGGGCCUCAGACGAUCACAUCAGAGCAGGACUUAAUGAGAUGCUGGAAGCUAAGAUUUCUCUUGAAAUGUGUCUGAGCACAGUGAACAUACUCAUGUCUGCAGACAGAGAAGUGCUGGCAUUUGAGUAUUUGAAACGCGUGUGUCAGCACUUUGAGUCGUCCCCUGACCUGGGAACUGCUCUCGUCUUGCACGUUGAGCUGCUGCUGCAGAAAGGCAAGGAGCUGCUGGGCAAACAGAAGAUAGACGAUAUCAUCACUGGCCAUUACACCGGAAAACAGCUGACUCCACAGGCCCUCACAUGUCUACAUGUCAUGCUGUGGGAUAAAGCCUCCAAACACUUUGAGGCCACGGACUAUUCUGAAGCUCUUCAGUGGUAUAACUACUCCCUGAGUUUCUUUAAGGCCGGUCAAAUGGAGCCCAACUACGCCAAACUGCAGAGGAACAGAGCUUCCUGUUUCCUGCAACUUAAACAGCUGGAAAAAGUGAGACAACUUGAGCCACAACAGCAAGCCAAAGAAGCAAUUAAAGAAGCAGAGAGAUGUGACCCUGAGAGCAUUUUCACUCAGUUCAGUGUUUACAAGAUUGCAGUGCUGGAGAACAAUGUGGAGAAAGCUGCAGAUGCAGUGAAUGCGAUGGGACGUCUGUCCAAGAGUCCUGUGGGCGAUGAGGACGGACUGCUGGUGUCUGAGAACGCUGCGUCCAAUCUCCUCAGGCUGGCAGCUCAGAUUGCUUUAGAGAACAAACAGCAGGAAACUGCCAUGAAGGCACUGGAGAGUCUGUGUGAAAACUCCAAAGAUGAAGCUCAGGUCCUGACUGCUCUCAGGUGUUUGAUUCGACUUGUGCUCUCCACAAUGGAACAACCGAGUGAUGAGAUGAGGAAUGUGAAUAUGGAUGUCCUGCUGCCAUAUCUAAAAAUGGCUCAGCGGAAAGUUUCACACCAGACUUGCUUGACUGCUGAGCAACGAACAGAAGAAGCUAACUGGUUCAGGAAGAUUGCAUGGAACUCGGCGCUGCAGUGCGAGAGCUGCCCUGACAGAAUGAGGGAUUUCUUCGUGCUCUCAUACCAGCUCUCCCAGCUGUGCCCCCCUGAUCGCACACUGCUCAUGGGCCAGAAGACGUGUCUGCUCAUGGCUGCCGCUGCCUGUUUGGAGCUCUGCAGGAAGUCUCUUCUCACUGACCAGACUGAGGAGCUCACUCAGGCACUGGAGCACAUUCAGACCUGCUGGGAGGUCUGGAAAACCCUGAAAGCAUCGGGAAACUUCCCAACGGACCCAACAGACACACUGCUGCUGCUGUAUGAAUUUGAAGCUCGUGCUAAGCUGAAUGACCCGAAGGUUGAGACGGUACUGGAGUCAGUGUUGGAUCUUGAAAAUGUUGAAACCAAAGUGCUAGAGACCAUUGCAGCCUUGGCCAUGGAGCCUCCAGCCCACUUCCCUCUGCUGAGCAAGAAGGCCUUGAGGGUCGCUCUCUCUCUGCACAAGAAACAACCACAGGCGGACCUGGACCGCUGCAGGCAUACCCCAUGUGCGUUCACAGCCUUAUCAAGCUGUCCCUCCCGAGUGGCGUAUCAGAGGUGGAGGCCCAUGUGCUCGAGGAGGUGUGGGACUACUACGAGGAGGCCCUGUCCAUCAUCGCAGCCGCACCGGACGACUUCCCAGAGAUGGAGACCCUGUGGUUGCUGACUCGGGCUUGGAACACAGGGAUACUGCUGUACAGCCUGGCUCAGUACCCCGAGGCUGAGAAGUGGUGCGGCCUCGCCAUGAGCUUCAUCCGCCACCUUGGAUCCCUGCAGGAGAGCUAUGAGACACAGAUGUCUGGACUCUACAGUGAAAUCCUGGACAGGUUGGACAAAGCCAAGAAGAACAUCAUCAUGGAAGAAUGACUCAACCGGGACGUUAACUUCCUGUUCUAAACACUCAGUUUGUUGCAGCUUGAUGUUUUUAACAUAGUAAAAUGUUCCAUCAAAUGCUCCAUUUUGACAAUUUGUUGCUUUAAGUGUGUUUAAUUGUGGGAUGUCCCAGUAGACAAGUAGUUAAAACACAUGCCACAUUUGUUCCUAGUUUGGUUUUGGCCUGAGACUUUGUUGCGUUUUCCCUCCAUCUCCCUCUCUAAUCCCACGUUUCCUGUCCUCUACGGAACCUGAGCUCUAAAAAAAAUAAAUAAAUAAAAAAAAAUGC
Molecule: RNA transcript, 3164 nt
Organism: Acanthopagrus latus (yellowfin seabream)
Lineage: Eukaryota; Metazoa; Chordata; Actinopteri; Spariformes; Sparidae
Gene: tex11
Gene name: testis expressed 11
Exons: 29
Source: RefSeq, a predicted model, not a curated record